GACGAACCGUGCGAACGUUGUUCGGAAUCACUGGGCUUAAAGGGCGCGUAGGCGGGCUGUCGCGUCUGGGGUGAAAUCCUCCGGCUCAACCGGGGAAGGGCCUCGGGUACGGACGGCCUCGAGGGGGUAGGGGCGUGCGGAACUGUGGGUGGAGCGGUGAAAUGCGUUGAUAUCCACAGGAACUCCGGUGGCGAAGGCGGCACGCUGGACCCUCUCUGACGCUGGAGGCGCGAAAGCCAGGG
RNAcentral lists this ribosomal RNA (242 nucleotides) under uncultured bacterium. RNAcentral describes it as "partial 16S ribosomal RNA". It matches the Rfam family "Bacterial small subunit ribosomal RNA", at positions 524 to 765 of the family's 1533-position model. The record is from RNAcentral.